AACGAUGAGUGCUAGGUGUCGGGUAGAAAUAUUCGGUGCCGCAGCUAACGCAAUAAGCACUCCGCCUGGGGAGUACGUACGCAAGUAUGAAACUCAAAGGAAUUGACGGGGACCCGCACAAGCAGCGGAGCAUGUGGUUUAAUUCGAAGCAACGCGAAGAACCUUACCAGGGCUUGACAUGCCUCUGACGUUACUAGAGAUAGUAAUUUAUCCUUCGGGAUACAGAGGACACAGGUGGUGCAUGGUUGUCGUCAGCUCGUGUCGUGAGAUGUUGGGUUAAGUCCCGCAACGAGCGCAACCCUUGUAUUUAGUUGCCAGCAUUAAGUUGGGCACUCUAGAUAGACUGCCGUGGACAACACGGAGGAAGGUGGGGAUGACGUCAAAUCAUCAUGCCCUUUAUGUCCUGGGCUACACACGUGCUACAAUGGUCGGUACAACGAGCAGCAAGCUAGUGAUAGCAAGCGAAUCUCUAAAAGCCGAUCCCAGUUCGGAUUGUAGGCUGCAACUCGCCUACAUGAAGUCGGAGUUGCUAGUAAUCGCGAAUCAGCAUGUCGCGGUGAAUGCGUUCCCGGGUCUUGUACACACCGCCCGUCACACCAUGGGAGUUGUCAAUACCCGAAGCCAGUGAGCUAACCAGAAAUGGAGGCAGCUGUCGAAGGUAGGGGCGAUGACUGGGGUGAAGUCGUAACAAGGUAGCCGUAUCGGAAGGUGCGGCUG
RNAcentral lists this ribosomal RNA (717 nucleotides) under uncultured bacterium. RNAcentral's name for it is "SSU rRNA". It matches the Rfam family "Bacterial small subunit ribosomal RNA", at positions 805 to 1520 of the family's 1533-position model. The record is from RNAcentral.